ACUCAAAUGAAUUGACGGGGGCCCGCACAAGCGGAGGAACAUGUGGUUUAAUUCGAUGAUACGCGAGGAACCUUACCCGGGCUUGAAAUGGAGAGGAAUGAUGUUGAAAGAUGUCAGUUCGCAAGAACCUCUUUGUAGGUGCUGCAUGGUUGUCGUCAGCUCGUGCCGUGAGGUGUCGGCUUAAGUGCCAUAACGAGCGCAACCCUUGUCGUUAGUUACUAACAGGUUAUGCUGAGGACUCUAGCGAGACUGCCACCGUAAGGUGCGAGGAAGGUGGGGAUGACGUCAAAUCAGCACGGCCCUUACGUCCGGGGCGACACACGUGUUACAAUGGGAGGUACAGAGGGUUGCUACUUAGUGAUAAGAUGCUAAUCUCUAAAACCUCUCUCAGUUCGGAUCGAAGUCUGCAACUCGACUUCGUGAAGCUGGAUUCGCUAGUAAUCGCGCAUCAGCCAUGGCGCGGUGAAUACGUUCCCGGGCCUUGUACACACCGCCCGU
This 498-nucleotide ribosomal RNA is filed under the name uncultured bacterium. Its description in RNAcentral is "bacterial SSU rRNA". It matches the Rfam family "Bacterial small subunit ribosomal RNA", at positions 899 to 1397 of the family's 1533-position model. The record is from RNAcentral.